This 327-nucleotide ribosomal RNA is filed under the name uncultured eukaryote. Its description in RNAcentral is "partial 18S ribosomal RNA". It matches the Rfam family "Eukaryotic small subunit ribosomal RNA", at positions 1470 to 1796 of the family's 1831-position model. The record is from RNAcentral.
CCCUUAGAUGUUCUGGGCCGCACACGCGCUACACUGAAGGAGGCAGCGUGUACUCCUGGAUCGAAAGAUUUGGGUAACCCGCGAAUCUCCUUCGUGCUAGGGAUUGAGGUUUGCAAUUAUCCUUCAUGAACGAGGAAUUCCCAGUAAGUGCAAGUCAUAAGCUUGCGCUGACUACGUCCCUGCCCUUUGUACACACCGCCCGUCGCUACUACCGAUUGAAUGAUUUAGUGAGGACUUCGGACUGGGACCGAUGCGGCUUUCGGGCUGCGUCGGUAUUCUGGAAAGAUGUCCAAACUGUAUCAUUUAGAGGAAGUAAAAGUCGUAUCA